RNAcentral lists this ribosomal RNA (562 nucleotides) under uncultured fungus. RNAcentral's name for it is "eukaryotic LSU rRNA". The stretch from base 206 to 356 matches the Rfam family "5.8S ribosomal RNA". Lineage: Eukaryota; Fungi. The record is from RNAcentral.
UCUUGGCAUUUAGAGGAAGUAAAAGUCGUAACAAGGUUUCCGCUGGUGAACCAGCGAAGGAUCAUUACAGAGAUCAUGCCCUUCGGGGUAGACCUCCCACCCUGGUUAUUUACGUAUGUUGCUUUGGCGGGCCCCCCUCGGGGUGUGCCCGCCAAGGACCCCCAACUCUGUGUUUAGUGUCGUCUGAGUACAAUCAAAUAAGUAAAACUUUCAACAACGGAUCUCUUGGUUCUGGCAUCGAUGAAGAACGCGCGAAAUGCGAUAAGUAAUGUGAAUUGCAGAAUUCAGUGAAUCAUCGAACUUUGAACGCACAUUGCGCCCCUGGGUAUUCCUGGGGGCAUGCCUGUUCAGCGUCAUUUCAACCCUCAAGCUUAGCUUGGUCUUGGGCCAUGCCGGGACGGCCGGCCUUAAAACUAGUGGCCGUGCCGCCGGGCUCUACGCGUAGUAUUACUUCCUCGCGUUUGGGUCCCGGUGGACGCUGGCCAGCAACCCCAAAUUUUUCUGGUUGACCUCGGAUCAGGUAGGGAUACCCGCUGAACUUAAGCUAUCAAUAAGCGGAGGA